GACGAACGCUGGCGGCGUGCCUAAUACAUGCAAGUCGAACGCUUUUUCUUUCACCGGAGCUUGCUCCACCGAAAGAAAAAGAGUGGCGAACGGGUGAGUAACACGUGGGUAACCUGCCCAUCAGAAGGGGAUAACACUUGGAAACAGGUGCUAAUACCGUAUAACACUAUUUUCCGCAUGGAAGAAAGUUGAAAGGCGCUUUUGCGUCACUGAUGGAUGGACCCGCGGUGCAUUAGCUAGUUGGUGAGGUAACGGCUCACCAAGGCAACGAUGCAUAGCCGACCUGAGAGGGUGAUCGGCCACACUGGGACUGAGACACGGCCCAGACUCCUACGGGAGGCAGCAGUAGGGAAUCUUCGGCAAUGGACGAAAGUCUGACCGAGCAACGCCGCGUGAGUGAAGAAGGUUUUCGGAUCGUAAAACUCUGUUGUUAGAGAAGAACAAGGAUGAGAGUAAAAUGUUCAUCCCUUGACGGUAUCUAACCAGAAAGCCACGGCUAACUACGUGCCAGCAGCAGCCGCAG
Molecule: ribosomal RNA, 523 nt
Filed under: uncultured bacterium
Lineage: Bacteria
Description: partial 16S ribosomal RNA
Rfam family: Bacterial small subunit ribosomal RNA
Source: RNAcentral